CGCCGCCUACGGGGCGCAGCAGUGGGGAAUAUCGGGCAAUGGGCGCAAGCCUGACCCAGCAACGCCGCGUGAAGGAAGAAGGCUUUCGGGUUGUAAACUUCUUUUGUCAGGGACGAAGCAAGUGACGGUACCUGACGAAUAAGCCACGGCUAACUACGUGCCAGCAGCCGCGGUAAUGCGUAGGUGGCAAGCGUUAUCCGGAUUUACUGGGUGUAAAGGGCGUGUAGGCGGGACUGCAAGUCAGAUGUGAAAACCACGGGCUCAACCUGUGGCCUGCAUUUGAAACUGUGGUUUUUGAGUACUGG
RNAcentral lists this ribosomal RNA (305 nucleotides) under uncultured bacterium. RNAcentral describes it as "bacterial SSU rRNA". It matches the Rfam family "Bacterial small subunit ribosomal RNA", at positions 332 to 652 of the family's 1533-position model. The record is from RNAcentral.